Molecule: unclassified non-coding RNA, 227 nt
Filed under: uncultured Sistotrema
Lineage: Eukaryota; Fungi; Basidiomycota; Agaricomycetes; Corticiales; Corticiaceae
Description: sequence contains ITS2
Source: RNAcentral
AACUAUCAGACCUCUGUCUUUUAUUAGGCAUUGGACUGGAUUUGGACUUUACCGUCUCCUUUCACUAGGAACGGUUGGUCUUAAAAGCAUUAGCUGACCCUCGAUUUGUGGGAUUGGUUCUACUUGACGUGAUAAUUAUCUAUGACCGUCAAGGACAUUUGCUUAAGUGCGAAUGGCCAGUUCUACCUUGAGUCGCUUCUAAUCGCACCCAGUGUGCACAUUUUCAA